This 253-nucleotide ribosomal RNA is filed under the name uncultured bacterium. RNAcentral's name for it is "partial 16S ribosomal RNA". It matches the Rfam family "Bacterial small subunit ribosomal RNA", at positions 524 to 776 of the family's 1533-position model. The record is from RNAcentral.
UACGAAGGGUGCAAGCGUUACUCGGAAUUACUGGGCGUAAAGCGUGCGUAGGCGGUCUGUUAAGUCCGUUGUGAAAGCCCUGGGCUCAACCUGGGGACUGCGCUGGAGACGGGUGUGCUCGAGGGUGGAAGAGGCUCGCGGAAUUCCCAGUGUAGAGGUGAAAUUCGUAGAUAUUGGGAAGAACACCGGUGGCGAAGGCGGCGAGCUGGUCCAUCACUGACGCUGAGGCGCGACAGCGUGGGGAGCAAACCGG